This 497-nucleotide ribosomal RNA is filed under the name uncultured bacterium. RNAcentral's name for it is "partial 16S ribosomal RNA". It matches the Rfam family "Bacterial small subunit ribosomal RNA", at positions 28 to 507 of the family's 1533-position model. The record is from RNAcentral.
GAUGAACGCUGGCGGCGUGCCUAAUACAUGCAAGUCGAGCGAACAGACGAGGAGCUUGCUCCUCUGACGUUAGCGGCGGACGGGUGAGUAACACGUGGAUAACCUACCUAUAAGACUGGGAUAACUUCGGGAAACCGGAGCUAAUACCGGAUAAUAUAUUGAACCGCAUGGUUCAAUAGUGAAAGACGGUUUUGCUGUCACUUAUAGAUGGAUCCGCGCCGCAUUAGCUAGUUGGUAAGGUAACGGCUUACCAAGGCAACGAUGCGUAGCCGACCUGAGAGGGUGAUCGGCCACACUGGAACCGAGACACGGUCCAGACUCCUAAGGGAGGCAGCAGUAGGGAAUCUUCCGCAAUGGGCGAAAGCCUGACGGAGCAACGCCGCGUGAGUGAUGAAGGUCUUCGGAUCGUAAAACUCUGUUAUUAGGGAAGAGCAAAUGUGUAAGUAACUAUGCACGUCUUGACGGUACCUAAUCAGGAAGCCACGGCUAACUACGUG